Molecule: long non-coding RNA, 547 nt
Filed under: Hordeum vulgare
Lineage: Eukaryota; Viridiplantae; Streptophyta; Magnoliopsida; Poales; Poaceae
Description: long non-coding RNA (HVUL_LNC010396)
Source: RNAcentral
UUGCGUGUUCAUCCAACUAGCCAUUCACACAUAUAUGCACUCCAUCAAGAUCUGGAUGACAAUAAAUAGGUAGGGACGGCCAAGUGCUAGCUCUAUGUGCCCUAUGAAAUGACUACUGUAUACACAUUGCCUCCGCCUCUACGGCGUACAUAUAGAGCUAGUACGAGUGUUUGCUGGUACCGGUUCCAAUUAUCAGCGCCCAAGUACGACUGUAUGAGAAAGAGACGUGUUGUCAAGUGUAAACGAGGAAGCAUCGGACGGCACAUGUUCUCGAGAAACUGAGCUAUCACCAGUGUAGACGUGGUACACAUGUUUCUGGGGUCAGCCAACAUGGAAAUGUUUGAGCGACAUGGUACAACCGGUUGACUCGCUGGGAUUGUUGGGACAGCACAGCCACUUCACUUUUUUGGUACACAUAACUCACAUGUUAGGAGCAUCUACAACCACGAUGAGCAAAAAAUACGUCUUAAAUAUCCACGGACGCAUUUAGGGACGUCCACAUAGAAUAUGACCGGAUACGUCUUAAAUAAACAGAACUGCAUUGAAC